RNAcentral lists this ribosomal RNA (305 nucleotides) under uncultured bacterium. RNAcentral's name for it is "partial 16S ribosomal RNA". It matches the Rfam family "Bacterial small subunit ribosomal RNA", at positions 508 to 809 of the family's 1533-position model. The record is from RNAcentral.
ACAGCAGUCGCCGCGGGAAUACGUAGGGUGCAAGCGUUAAUCGGAAUUACUGGGCGUAAAGCGUGCGUAGGCGGCUUUUUAAGUCGGAUGUGAAAUCCCUGAGCUUAACUUAGGAAUUGCAUUCGAUACUGGGAAGCUAGAGUAUGGGAGAGGAUGGUAGAAUUCCAGGUGUAGCGGUGAAAUGCGUAGAGAUCUGGAGGAAUACCGAUGGCGAAGGCAGCCAUCUGGCCUAAUACUGACGCUGAGGUACGAAAGCAUGGGGAGCAAACAGGAUUAGAUACCCGGGUAGUCCCUGUCUCUUAUAA